Molecule: non-coding RNA, 21 nt
Filed under: Caenorhabditis elegans
Lineage: Eukaryota; Metazoa; Nematoda; Chromadorea; Rhabditida; Rhabditidae
Source: RNAcentral
UGUUUCAGAGAGAAACAGGAA